This 58-nucleotide transfer RNA is filed under the name Pseudobiotus spinifer. RNAcentral describes it as "tRNA-Ser". Lineage: Eukaryota; Metazoa; Tardigrada; Eutardigrada; Parachela; Doryphoribiidae. The record is from RNAcentral.
AAAGAUUUAAAAAUUAAAGCCGCUAACUUUAAGUAUUGUGAUUUUCAUGAAAAUCUUU